AGGAGCCCACACUUCGGGGCCAAUGUCGUGAUGCAAGGAGGCAAACUUCAAGUUGGACGUCGCAACGUGAUAGAAGUGAUGUCGGACCGUCAAUUUUAAAAGGAAGCCAAGUCGGAUAAAUUACGUGUUUAACGCUGCAACGUUGGAGGGCAUAUUGAACCUUCGAGGCUACAUCAUGUGUUGAGGAGGCUACGUCGUGACGUUUUGCAGGUAACUGCUGUGAACUUGAUAGUUACUCAAUGGUAACUUAUGGAAUUUUGCAGCAACGCCACAACAUAGCUAAGCUUAAGUCACAACGUAGUGAACAAGUUAGAACUUUAAUGAGGGGUUAUUUCAUCUUUUCCCCGCUCUGAAGCUUUUAGUAUAAAUAGUUUUGUUUUAAAAAAGUUGAGGGAGUUAGACUAUUUCUUUUCAAAGCUAGGGAUUUUUCUUUUAAACUCCUACAGAGAAUUUGAACUUUUCCUUUGUAAUUUUCUUUUUCUAUCUUGUACUUUCUGAUUCUUGAUUAGAUUUCUAGCUUGUUUUCUUUUAUAUUUGAAUUGUAGACUCUCAAAAGUGAUGGAAUCUUCAAUACUUUGCAUGGAUUUUGCUUCGGCUAGUUGAAACUGGAA
This 611-nucleotide long non-coding RNA is filed under the name Gossypium barbadense (sea-island cotton). Its description in RNAcentral is "long non-coding RNA (GBAR_LNC021426)". The record is from RNAcentral. Lineage: Eukaryota; Viridiplantae; Streptophyta; Magnoliopsida; Malvales; Malvaceae.